CAGUCGCCGCGGGAAUACGUAGGUGGCAAGCGUUGUCCGGAAUUAUUGGGCGUAAAGGGCUCGCAGGCGGUUUCUUAAGUCUGAUGUGAAAGCCCCCGGCUCAACCGGGGAGGGUCAUUGGAAACUGGGAAACUUGAGUGCAGAAGAGGAGAGUGGAAUUCCACGUGUAGCGGUGGAAUGCGUAGAGAUGUGGAGGAACACCAGUGGCGAAGGCGACUCUCUGGUCUGUAACUGACGCUGAGGAGCGAAAGCGUGGGGAGCGAACAGGAUUAGAUACCCCAGUAGUCCCUGUCUCUUAUAC
This 301-nucleotide ribosomal RNA is filed under the name uncultured bacterium. RNAcentral describes it as "partial 16S ribosomal RNA". It matches the Rfam family "Bacterial small subunit ribosomal RNA", at positions 509 to 807 of the family's 1533-position model. The record is from RNAcentral.